GCCGAUUUCCUCACCUCUCCCGAGCCUCCUCUCGCAAUUCUUCUCUUCCCCGAGCCUCUCCCUCUCGCGACCCUAGUCUCCCCAACCCACCGCCGACCACUCUUCUCCGUCGGGCCACAGCCGCCGAGCCACGGCCACCGGCUUCUGCUCCUCACGCGAUCACCUCCUUCUCGCGAUUUCCUCACCCAAUCGCCACCUGCCCUCAGCACGAGAGAUCGCCGCCGUCACGGUUCGCCAUCAUCCGAUCGCCGCUCUCAUCCCUAAUGACAUUCUCCUCCACAGAUUAGCCGGGACUGUUUGGCCACCGUUCUUCCCAAGUUCUUCCUCAGCGGAGGCUGAUUCUCGGCCAAGAGGGGAACCUAUGCUUAUCAUCGAUCCCCUUGGCGCUACUCCUGGGUGCCUGCGGCUCCGACCACAGGAACCCUUUGGCCCAGCCAAUGGGUGUUCGAGACCAGACUCUCACACCCUAGAUUUCCUCUUGCUGCGUCAUGCCCUAAUUUCCUAAUGCCACCAGCUACCUGCCCAGAUCUUGGCUGUGAGCAGCGGUUUGCCCUGCUGUGGGUAGGAGCUGACAACCCUAGACGAUGACUCUCUGUUGCCUGCUGUUAUUGCCGGAGAUGAAAGGAAUAUGGGAUUACAGGAGAAGUAGAGGAUGGUUGUAGAUUGUCGUUGUUGGCUAUAAGCCACUUCUAGUGCUACCUUGUUACCAAAUUUGGGGUAACAGGUAGAUGAGUCAUGGAUGCUUGGAGAGUCCCGACUGUCGGUCCCACUUCCCACAUCAUAUCUGAGGACAUUUAUCGAUUUUAUUUUCGCUUUACUUGUAUUUCUAGUAUUCAGCAAUUUUAGUAUUGUAUGAAUUUGUUUGUGUUUGGAGUUUGAUUCGUGGUGUUUUGCUAUCGUGAUCUUGUGGUUGUGUAAGCCUAAUUGGCUAGUAAACUUUAGUUGUGGAUUGUGAAUUUUCUCUUCGUUUUUCCGCUGUGCUUUUAAUACAGUCGUGUCGGCUGAAUAUUAACUGCGUGGUUGUUUUAUUGAUUUAUGUCCAGUCGG
Zingiber officinale is the source of this 1047-nucleotide long non-coding RNA. RefSeq lists it as uncharacterized. The record is from RefSeq and is a predicted model, not a curated record. The transcript is spliced from 3 exons. NCBI's taxonomy places the organism in Eukaryota, Viridiplantae, Streptophyta, Magnoliopsida, Zingiberales, Zingiberaceae.